CCGCUGUAGCCAUACCAGAUAGGACAAUGUCUGCUAAGCAGAAUUUCAACUGACCCAAGAGCCCAACGGAGCACUUGAUUAAGACGAUCGGAAAGAUUGAUUGGUGCAGAACCCUUGAAACAAGGCCGUGGUGGCAUGCAGUAGAUUGACUGCCAGCCUCUUGCGUGCAUCUUAAACCCAGUAAGAAUAUCCUCCGUAACUGAACCGUAAAUCCAGCCAAUCUGAAACAACAUAAAACGGAAAAUCAUAUUCUGAGUCCUGGAAUGGGAAAAGUAAUUCUAUGCCAAGAUACAAAGUUAAAUAACUCUAUAACACGAAAGAAAGAGGGAAACUUUGCUUGCCACACUAACCUCUUUGCCCCAUUCAGUUUUGUCCUCGUACCCACAGCUGAUGACAUGGAUAGCUUCCUUUAGUAGAGAAGCUGGGUUUGUUGAAGGUGGUAUGCCACCUUGAGUCAUAAAGGUGGAUGCAAUGAAAAUUGGAGACUGGCCAAAGCGUUUCUCCAAUUUCCUCUGGGACAUAAGCA
RNAcentral lists this long non-coding RNA (526 nucleotides) under Setaria italica (foxtail millet). Its description in RNAcentral is "long non-coding RNA (SITA_LNC001889)". The record is from RNAcentral. Lineage: Eukaryota; Viridiplantae; Streptophyta; Magnoliopsida; Poales; Poaceae.